This 377-nucleotide ribosomal RNA is filed under the name uncultured cyanobacterium. RNAcentral's name for it is "bacterial SSU rRNA". It matches the Rfam family "Bacterial small subunit ribosomal RNA", at positions 376 to 770 of the family's 1533-position model. Lineage: Bacteria; Bacillati; Cyanobacteriota. The record is from RNAcentral.
CGAAAGCCUGACGGAGCAACGCCGCGUGAGGGAGGAAGGCUCUUGGGUUGUAAACCUCUUUUCUCAAGGAAGAUAAUGACGGUACUUGAGGAAUCAGCAUCGGCUAACUCCGUGCCAGCAGCCGCGGUAAUACGGAGGACGCAAGCGUUAUCCGGAAUAAUUGGGCGUAAAGCGUUCGUAGGUGGUGAUGUAAGUCUGCUGUUAAAGCGUGUAGCUUAACUACAUAUAGGCGGUGGAAACUACAUGACUAGAGUGCGUUCGGGGCAGAGGGAAUUCCAGGUGUAGCGGUGAAAUGCGUAGAUAUCAGGAAGAACACCGGUGGCGAAGGCGCUCUGCUAGGCCGUAACUGACACUGAGGGACGAAAGCUAGGGGAGCG